CAGGGCUCUCUGCUGACACGGAGCAGAGCUUGAUUACAUCAGAUUUGCCCAGCUAAGAUCUUGGGGAGGGGUUGGGUGGUGCAGGAGGAAGGUAAAAGGAGGAACUGAGAGAAAACAGAGGGCUGGAAGCAGAGAAAGAAGUGAAGAAGGGAAGGAGGGAGGGAAAGAGAGAGAAGGGGGGAGAAAGGUAAGUGCAUUCUGUAGAAAUUGCUGGCAGCUCCGCUCCGCAGAAAGGCCUUGGCUGGGAGCCAGCCGGCGCCUGGGCCAUCUAGGGGUGAAGUUACGCGGUUAUCGAAUUCCCCUUCCCUGGAGCCCCUGGAAAGACGUUGUUGCCAAAAACAGAGGCGGGGGCCGGGAGGGGGGAAUCCAACUCUUUGUUUUUAUCUAGGACCCGAUCUCGUGAUUCCCUCCCCCCAUUUCUCCCAGGGCUGUGGAGGGGGUUCCCGCGGGAGUUGGGCAAAGCGUGGGACGAGGACAGGUGCCUGGCACUGGGGUUUCAGAGUCGCAAAUACGCCCCAAAGGCUGGGAUGGAACGCCAGUCCCCACUCGAAGCCACUUCCAUAGAGUCGGGGCCAGGUGCGCAGCGUCCCGCGCGAUUACCUCCACUUGUCCCUUCCCCUCGCGGCCCCGCGCGCCCUGGAGCCCGCGCCCUCCUUCCCGACCCGGGGCAGCCUAGCCAGGAGCCGCGGCGGCGGCGUCUCUACCGAGGGAAGGUGGUCCCCACGCGCUCCGGCCUCAGGGCCCUCUCCACCCGCCUCGCCGCUUUCCUGUCCUGCCCACGGCCGAGGCCCCGGCAGCUGGGGUGGCCUGGAGGGUGCAGGGCCGGGCGGGGGGCGGCAGGACUGGAACUGGCGCCUGCUCUCGCGGAGGCAUCAGUAGAGCUCGCCCAGUUCUCGGGAAAUAUUUUUAUCAUUGAUAAAACGCAGUCCCCAAAGCGAGGGUCCUAUGGGCGGCCAGACGCACCGCGGGGACCUGCAGUGUACGAAACUGCUGAUAGGACUAAACCAGGGAGGGCACACAGAAGCUUGACUGCUCUCCAGAAAUACGCGGGGCUCUGUUAA
Molecule: long non-coding RNA, 1061 nt
Organism: Callithrix jacchus (white-tufted-ear marmoset)
Lineage: Eukaryota; Metazoa; Chordata; Mammalia; Primates; Cebidae
Source: Ensembl